RNAcentral lists this unclassified non-coding RNA (391 nucleotides) under soil metagenome. RNAcentral's name for it is "partial contains 5.8S ribosomal RNA, internal transcribed spacer 2, and large subunit ribosomal RNA". The stretch from base 1 to 122 matches the Rfam family "5.8S ribosomal RNA", at positions 35 to 154 of the family's 154-position model. The record is from RNAcentral.
GAUGAAGAACGUAGCGAAAUGCGAUACUUGGUGUGAAUUGCAGAAUCCGGUGAACCAUCGAGUCUUUGAACGCAAGUUGCGCCCGAAGCCAUUAGGCCGAGGGCACGCCUGCCUGGGCGUCACACGUCGUUGCCCCCCCAUCUACUCCUUCGGGAUUGCGGGGGGCGGAUGAUGGCCUCCCGUGCGCCUCGCCGCGCGGUUGGCAUAAAUGCCAAGUCCUCGGCGACGCACGCCACGACAAUCGGUGGUUGCGAAACCUCGGUUGCCCGUCGUGUGCGGUCGUCGCGCAUCGAGGGCUCGAAAAAAUUGCCGGGUUCCGGCUCGGCUUUCAACGCGACCCCAGGUCAGGCGGGGUUACCCGCUGAAUUUAAGCAUAUCAAUAAGCGGAGGA